This is a non-coding RNA of Aegilops tauschii subsp. strangulata, 609 nucleotides long. The record is from RefSeq and is a predicted model, not a curated record. NCBI's taxonomy places the organism in Eukaryota, Viridiplantae, Streptophyta, Magnoliopsida, Poales, Poaceae.
AGCACGAGAGCCGGCGACAAACCCGGACCAGCGGAGGUGGGGAGUUAUCCUCCGGCUUACCGAACGCACCAGCACCGCGGAAACGUCGAAACGAGGGGACUUCUCGUUCCUCUUCUGACGACUCAUCACAGACCGAUCUUUCGGCUUUCAAGACUGCCCCUGGUGGAAAGUCAAAGCCUAGUAAGAAGCCCAAGGUGGUUAAGCCAGAUGAAGACCCCAAAGUUCCUGAACUGGAGUAGCAGAAUCCGUUGUCUGAGGCUUCUGUGCAACACCCAGACGAACCUGUCAAUGAUCUGCCACCAGAAACUCCUGAACUCUUAACCGAUCAUAUAACUGUCGAACCUUUGAACACUGAGCCGACAAAUCCAUUUAAACCGCCAGAAACACAUGUUGAUGAUGUUGUGAUUACCGGCACCGGCUUCCAAGAGCCGGGAAAACCUACUGUCUUGGCCAAGCACUCCGCCAAAGAGGAACUUAUUGAAAGGCGAAAUGUGAGAUUUGACAUCGCCAACUAUUCUCAAUUGAGCAUCAGUGAAGUACUAUCUGGUUAUCUUAACCAAGUGCGUACCAGCCGCGACCUUGAAGUUGACAUGGUGAAGCAGAUGCAUA